Molecule: transfer RNA, 86 nt
Filed under: Spirochaetales bacterium
Lineage: Bacteria; Pseudomonadati; Spirochaetota; Spirochaetia; Spirochaetales
Also listed under: 1 other name
Description: tRNA-Ser
Rfam family: tRNA
About the family: Transfer RNA (tRNA) molecules are approximately 80 nucleotides in length. Their secondary structure includes four short double-helical elements and three loops (D, anti-codon, and T loops).
Source: RNAcentral
GGAGAGAUGCCUGAGAGGCCGAAGGGGACGGUUUGCUAAACCGUUGUACCGUUCCGGUACCGAGGGUUCGAAUCCCUCUCUCUCCG